Molecule: ribosomal RNA, 406 nt
Filed under: uncultured bacterium
Lineage: Bacteria
Description: partial 16S ribosomal RNA
Rfam family: Bacterial small subunit ribosomal RNA
Source: RNAcentral
AGUGAACGCUGGCGGUAGGCCUAACACAUGCAAGUCGAACGAGUGGCGGACGGGUGAGGAAUACAUCGGAAUCUACUCUGUCGGGGGGGAUAACGUAGGGAAACUUACGCUAAUACCGCAUACGAUUGAAUGAGCCGAUGUCGGAUUAGCUAGUUGGCGGGGUAAAGGCCCACCAAGGCGACGAUCCGUAGAUGGUCUGAGAGGAUGAUCAGCCACACUGGAACUACGACACGAGCCAUACUCCUACGGGAGGCAGCAGUGGGGAAGAUUAGACAAUGGGCGCAAGCCUGAUCCAGCCAUACCGCGUGGGUGAAGAAGUCCUUCGGGUUGUAAUGCCCUUUUGUUGGGAGAGCGGUACCCAAAGAAUAAGCACCGGCUAACUUCGUGCCAGCAGCCGCGGUAAUUC